RNAcentral lists this ribosomal RNA (468 nucleotides) under uncultured bacterium. RNAcentral describes it as "partial 16S ribosomal RNA". It matches the Rfam family "Bacterial small subunit ribosomal RNA", at positions 28 to 507 of the family's 1533-position model. The record is from RNAcentral.
GACGAACGCUGGCGGCGUGCUUAACACAUGCAAGUCGAACGGAAAGGCCCUGCUUUUGUGGGGUGCUCGAGUGGCGAACGGGUGAGUAACACGUGAGUAACCUGCCCUUGACUUUGGGAUAACUUCAGGAAACUGGGGCUAAUACCGGAUAGGAGCUCCUGCUGCAUGGUGGGGGUUGGAAAGUUUCGGCGGUUGGGGAUGGACUCGCGGCUGAUCACCUUGUUGGUGGGGUAGUGGCUUACCAAGGCUUUGGCGGGUAGCCGGCCUGAGAGGGUGACCGGCCACAUUGGGACUGAGGUACGGCCCAGACUCCUACGGGAGGCAGCAGUGGGGAAUAUUGCACAAUGGGCGGAAGUCUGAUGCAGCAACGCCGCGUGCGGGAUGACGGCCUUCGGGUUGUAAACCGCUUUCGCCUGUGACGAAGCGUGAGUGACGGUAAUGGGUAAAGAAGCACCGGCUAACUACGUG